GGAAGGUUGUCAGGAGACACCAGCCUACCAUCCAGGGAGCAGCAUGUAAUGAUACACAGUUCAUGAAAUGGUGCCACCCACAUUCAGGGUGGAUCUUCUCACCUUAAGUAACCAUCAAGACAGGCCCCCUACACUCCUGCCCACAGGCCAACCUGAUCUAGCCCGAUAGACUACAGUAGACAUCCCAACACGCAGAGCAAAGCAGAAGACAACGCUGGCCACAGUUCUCAUCGAGAAACACAGGAACGCACACAAGACGGACUUUCCGCCGAUGGAGCAAGGCUGAAAAGUUGGGAAACCAGAAGUGGGACCACAGCUCAGGUGUGAGCUCCUUCCUAACAUGCCUGAGACCCUAGGUUCCACCCCCAGUACUGCCAGGAAAAAAAGCAAGGGAAACAUUGAUGGGAGGUUGCCUUGGCAAUACUUGACAGGCCAGGGAGGUGGCUUAGUAGGUAAAGGGCUUUUGUGAGUUUGAUCCCCAGAGCCCACAUGAAAGCCAGGCACAUAGCGCUCCUGGAAGACAGAGACUGAAGGGUCCCCGGAAGCUAGGUCAUGGUUAUACACAGCUUCAAACAAAACAAAGACCCCUCUCUUCUUAGUUAGGGUUUCUAUUGCUAUAAGAGACACCAUGACCACGGCUACUCUUACCAAGGAAAACAUGUCAUUGUGGUGACUUGCUUACAGCUCAAAGUUUCAGUCCAUUAUCGUCAUGGCAUGAAGCAAGGCAGACAUGGUGCUCGAGAAGGAGCUGAGAGUUCUGCAUCUUAAUCCACAGGCAACGGGAAGUGCUCUGACUCACUGGGAGACCUCAAAGCCCACCUCCACAGUGACACACUUCCUCCAACAAGGCCACACCUCCUAAUGGUGCCCCUCUCUUUGGGGGCCAUUUCCUUUCAAACCACUUCACCUCUCAACCAAGGCAGAAAAUGGCAAUUGACCCCUGAAAUGGCCAGCUGGCCUCUACAUGCUUGCUGUGGUACCCGUGACUCGGGCACAUACACACACAAUACCAAAAAAAAAAAAAAAAGAACUUUUUGUUUUAAAUUGAAGGCCUGCCUUGAUCUAAAGUCCUUAGGAAAAAAGCUUUGAUGACAAGUUUUAUGUCCAUCCCUUUAGAGCACAGAACCCAGCCCCUGACUUACAGCAGGAACUGAGUGUAUGCUGAAUGAAUCUUAGUUAUUACCAUCGUUAUUAAAUGACUACAUAGCUUUCCACUUCAACCUGAGGACAGUAAGGGAAAGUAUAAUUAUUGUCUCUGGCUAAAAACUGAAUUGAUAGGAAAGGUCAGAUCUGCACUACCUUCUACAGACACCAUUAGCAUACUCUUUUGUCUGGGUUUUAGCUAUCUUUUGUUCAAGACAGUCUCAGAGACCAGCUGGCCUUGAACUCACCAUAUAGCUCAGGAUGACCUUGGCUUCCUGAUCCUCCCGCCUCCACCAUCCAGGUGCUGGGGCUACAGUUAGGCUCUACCACACCCAGUUUGCAAUUAGUGCUGUUAGAAAGCUGCUUCACCUGCGCGAAGAACCUUGCAGCUACUCCCAUCCUGUCAGCUGCAGGCCUUGAAGAACUAAUGGCCACUCUUUCUUCAGUCACUGUGGUCCACUUGGCUGUGGACAGGGCUGACACGGUCUUUAGGAGAUCCUUUUAUAUACUGCGAUAUUGAUUUUUAAAACAUUUUUAGUCGACACAAUGAAAAGCUCACCCAGGGGUCUUCCUUCAAAUCUAGAGUUAAAAAUCCAUAUCUUAA
Molecule: non-coding RNA, 1747 nt
Organism: Peromyscus maniculatus bairdii (prairie deer mouse)
Lineage: Eukaryota; Metazoa; Chordata; Mammalia; Rodentia; Cricetidae
Source: RefSeq, a predicted model, not a curated record